Molecule: ribosomal RNA, 405 nt
Filed under: uncultured prokaryote
Description: bacterial SSU rRNA
Rfam family: Bacterial small subunit ribosomal RNA
Source: RNAcentral
UGGGGAAUAUUGGGCAAUGGGCGCAAGCCUGACCCAGCAACGCCGCGUGAGGGAAGAAGGUCUUCGGAUUGUAAACCUCUGUCCUUGGGGACGAAAAAAAUGACGGUACCCAAGGAGGAAGCUCCGGCUAACUACGUGCCAGCAGCCGCGGUAAUACGUAGGGAGCGAGCGUUGUCCGGAAUUACUGGGCGUAAAGGGUGCGUAGGCGGCGCUGCAAGUCAGAUGUGAAAUCCCCAGGCUUAACCUGGGGGGUGCAUUUGAAACUGCAGUGCUUGAGUGCAGGAGAGGAAAGCGGAAUUCCUAGUGUAGCGGUGAAAUGCGUAGAUAUUAGGAAGAACAUCAGUGGCGAAGGCGGCUUUCUGGACUGUAACUGACGCUGAGGCACGAAAGCGUGGGGAGCAAACA